CACUGACUCACAGCACGCUCCCUCCCCCCCCACCCCCAAGAGCAGACUUGACCGUGAGCAAUAGUGCCCCCUCUACACACAGCAAGACUGAACCCCAGAGACAUGCGGUCUCUCAAGAAUCGCAGUUAGAAAGUGACCUUGCCAGGAUUUGAACCCAGGUCGGUACAGACCUGCCCAGAGGCCUGGAGCAAGGGAAGAACCAGAUGCUAACUGGUCCCAAGCAAGACUGGGAAGUUAGCUCCAGUCAAGCCAGCUAUCUUGAUCGCUAAUCUGUAAAGAUGCUAAAGCCCUCGCUGCUUGUGCAAAGGGAUGAGGGGCUGCAAUUUUGUUCCUGCGUUCUCUCCGUGGCUCAGUUCAAGCUCGGUGGGGGUGAAACUCUGAAAUCAGCACCCCAUGUACACGCACGUCCACACAUGCACGCACAUGCACUUGCAUUUACACACAUACUUCAUGUGGAUGCAGUUCCCGAGACUUCUAGAAUUCUAUUUUCUGCAGAGUGUGACGGCACAUACACGGAUUCUCGAGGCUGGGGCUGGAGGACCAUGAGCUCGAAUCAACUCUAGGCUACAGAACAUCCCCCCGCCCCAAAGACAGGAAAUAUGAUCUACCCGUCCGGAGAGUGCUUACCUAGAUGCAUGCCGUCUUGGCUUUCAUCUCCAGUGCUAGAUAAAUCAGGCAUGGUGGCACAGAGCUGUAGUAGCAGCAUUCCAAAGACAGAGGCAAAGGGACCAGAAGUUCAUGGUCAUAGCCUGCCCAGGCUAAGACAUGGUCACAAAAAACAAAACAAAAACAAACAAAACAAAACACAAAAAAAAAACCCAAAACUAAUUUGUCCUGUGCAAGCAAACAUGAGGAUCUGAGAUGGAUCCCCAGAACCUAUGUUUAACAUAUAUGUAUACAUACAUACAUACAUACAUACAUACAUACAUACACACAUAUAUACUGAUGUUGGGCAGGGAAGCAAGAUGGCAGGUAAGGGUACUUCCCACCAAGCCUGAUGGUCUUUCAAUAUCCCGUGCCCACAAGAUGGAGAGAACCAUCUCCCAAACAUUGUUUUCUGACCUCUACAUGGACACAAUGACAUACAUGUAUUUAAAUGCACACACGUGAGCACGAGCGCGCGCGCGCACACACACACACACACACACACACAAGCCUGGUGUGGUGGCACUUGUUCCUAUGCUGGGGAGGUGGAGACUGGGAUGCUGGUACUCAGUGACCAACCAGCCUUGCCUACUUGCUAAGUUCUCUCUAGGUCAAUAAGAGACUUUGUCCCCAAAAUCAAGGUGAAUGGCAUCUGAGAAAUGACACGCUUGUCUUCUGGCCUGCGCAUGUGCCCGUGCAACCCCAAGUGCACGCGCCCAAUUUGUUUUUUCAUCUCCGAGAUCUGGCUCCUCUCCCUGGCAAGACUUCCACAUCCCACCAGAGGUCGCUCUACCUUGGGACCCUACCUCUCUCAGAUGGCAUAGCCUCUCCAAUUGCCCCUCCAGGAAGGGGGUGAGUUGGCCCCUAGAAAACUGUACCCACGCCACCAACUGGCCCGCUGCCUCAGGCCUUUGGUCUCCAGCCUCUCUCUUCCCAUUUACCCUAAGUCUUUCUGACACCUAGCUCUGCAGAGCCUACGUUUCCGUCUUUGGCUGCCAUUCAGGGUCUGCCAGCAGCCUGUCAGCCGCCUUCCCACUGGAUGUCUACCCAGUGUCUCAGUGAAUUAUCUUUCCACAAGCUAAGAAACUGCCUACAGCUGCUAGUAAGACAGCUCUCAGACCCGAGGCACAGGGCUUCCGAGGCGCAGCCCCAGGGACCUCUAGGAGCAAAUUCGUUGCCAGUAUUUUGACUGCCAUGUUGAAGUGACACCGGAAGACCUGUGAGCUGCUGUAGGCCAAGUGGACACCCACGUUCCAAGCGGACCACUCUGAAGAGAAAAUGUAGCAUCUACUCCAUGACUGCUCUCAGGCACAGGUGCAGUUAGGGCACAAAUGCAGGUUUGUAUCAGACUGAGAAGCCCUGGAGAAAGGUCCCCAUGUAUCCCCAGCAGGAACCCUGCAGCCUGCACACACGGUGCCCGGUGGAAUAAGGAUUAGCCAUGCCUUUCAGAAGAGUGCUACAUCCCAACCCACUAUGCCCUGACCAGGACCUUGGAGCAGAACACUGGGACCAUGCUCCACCUCCCCAGGACACAGCCAGACCACCAAUAGACCGGACCUUUAUCCCUGGAGUUCCCAGUGUUUGAUUUCUGUAGCCUAGGAGUUGUAUGGCUUUAAGAGAGACUUUAUCUCUCACAGCCUACUUUCCUUGGCUAUAAAGGAGAAACACAGCUCCUUCUCAGAACUGGGAGCUGUACCAGCACCCAGCACUUGGCACUCAGCCUCCAGCACCCAGCAUCCAACACCCAGCCUCCAGCACUCAGCAUCCAACAUCCAGCCUUUAGCACCCAGCCUCCAGCAUUCAGCAUCCAACACCCAGCCUCCAGCACCCAGCCUCCAGCACCCAGCACCCAGUAUCCAACACCCAGCCUCCAGCACUCAGCAUCCAAAACCUAGCAUCCAGCACCCAGCACUCAGCAUUCAAUACCCAGUACUCAGCAUCCAACACCCAGCAUCCAGCACUCAGCACCCAGCACUCAUCCAAUACCCAGCAUCCAGCACCCACCCACACCAGCUCACUUUCCAGGAUCAUGAGUAAAGCUGAGCAGUGUCAGAAAGAAAGCAAAACUUGCUGUUAGGAAGCCCCCCUUUAUCCCUCACACCCUACCCAGAGGCCAUGGUGCUCUCCCCUCACCGGUGCACGUUUAAUCUUCUGUUGAUUAUACUCGCUUAUGUUCACAACCAGCAACUCAGCUCAUCUCUGUCUAAGCAGCAUUUGGAUUUUCCCUUCCUGGGCCUUCAGAGCCUCACCCAGUUUCUCAUACCUUCCACCCCGAAGGUCACGCAGAGUGCCAGAGAGCCAGGGCAGAACCGGAGUCAGCCAGUCAUCUGCCCAAUCAACACCAGACUCUGCAGAGCUUGUCCCAAGACAUUUCCAGUCACAGAGAAGAGCCACGGCCCCCCUGUGGGCCAUCUCAUUCCCUGUAGCUGGCACUCCUUUUCUGGGUUCUUCGAGGAAGGUGAGAGAAGGGAGGGUAUAGCCGGAGGGCCCUACAUUUACCCACAGGAGAAACAUAGACAUGGCUUAGUGAGGAGGGUAGAAGAUCAUAAUUCUGGGUCGAACAGAGGAUGACAGAUGGGUACUGGUGAAGACUGAGGGAGGGAGCUCCUGGCUGAGAGCAAAGGCCAAAGGAGGGCCCCAAAGCCUCUCCAACAUGGCAGGGAAAUGUGGGUCCUAACUACAGUUGCUGUUGGAAAGGCUGUACCACGUCAGCUUACAAUCACUGUAUCCGGGCAGGCCCCAUCUCUCCCACCGUUUACAUAAAGAACAGGGCGGCUGGAA
Rattus norvegicus (Norway rat) is the source of this 3426-nucleotide long non-coding RNA. RefSeq lists it as uncharacterized. The record is from RefSeq and is a predicted model, not a curated record. NCBI's taxonomy places the organism in Eukaryota, Metazoa, Chordata, Mammalia, Rodentia, Muridae.